Molecule: ribosomal RNA, 253 nt
Filed under: uncultured prokaryote
Description: partial 16S ribosomal RNA
Rfam family: Bacterial small subunit ribosomal RNA
Source: RNAcentral
UACGUAGGUGGCAAGCGUUGUUCGGAAUUAUUGGGCGUAAAGGGCGCGUAGGCGGCUUGUUAAGUCGGCUGUGAAAGCCCUGGGCUCAACCUGGGAACUGCAUCCAAAACUACUGAGCUAGAGUACGGUAGAGGGUAGUGGAAUUUCCUGUGUAGCGGUGAAAUGCGUAGAUAUAGGAAGGAACACCAGUGGCGAAGGCGACUACCUGGACUGAUACUGACACUGAGGUGCGAAAGCGUGGGGAGCAAACAGG